AUUGAACGCUGGCGGCAUGCCUUACACAUGCAAGUCGAACGGCAGCGGGCCCUUCGGGGUGCCGGCGAGUGGCGAACGGGUGAGUAAUGCAUCGGAACGUACCCGGGAGAGGGGGAUAACCGGCCGAAAGGCUGGCUAAUACCGCAUGAACUCGGAAGAGCAAAGCGGGGGACCUUCGGGCCUCGCGCUCUUGGAGCGGCCGAUGUCCGAUUAGGCUAGUUGGUGGGGUAAAGGCCCACCAAGGCGACGAUCGGUAGCGGGUCUGAGAGGACGAUCCGCCACACUGGGACUGAGACACGGCCCAGACUCCUACGGGAGGCAGCAGUGGGGAAUCUUGGACAAUGGGCGCAAGCCUGAUCCAGCAAUGCCGCGUGGGUGAAGAAGGCCUUCGGGUUGUAAAGCCCUUUCGGCGGGGAAGAAAUCGGUCAGGCGAAUAGUCUGGCCGGAUGACGGUACCCGCAGAAGAAGCACCGGCUAACUACGUG
RNAcentral lists this ribosomal RNA (485 nucleotides) under uncultured bacterium. RNAcentral describes it as "partial 16S ribosomal RNA". It matches the Rfam family "Bacterial small subunit ribosomal RNA", at positions 28 to 507 of the family's 1533-position model. The record is from RNAcentral.